CCUGGUAGCUCAGACGGUAAAGCGUCUGCCUACAAUGCAGGAGACCCGGGUUCGAUCCCUGGGUCAGGA
RNAcentral lists this transfer RNA (69 nucleotides) under Ovis aries (sheep). It matches the Rfam family "tRNA". From Rfam's summary of the family: Transfer RNA (tRNA) molecules are approximately 80 nucleotides in length. Their secondary structure includes four short double-helical elements and three loops (D, anti-codon, and T loops). Further hydrogen bonds mediate the characteristic L-shaped molecular structure. tRNAs have two regions of fundamental functional importance: the anti-codon, which is responsible for specific mRNA codon recognition, and the 3' end, to which the tRNAs corresponding amino acid is attached (by aminoacyl-tRNA synthetases). tRNAs cope with the degeneracy of the genetic code in two manners: having more than one tRNA (with a specific anti-codon) for a particular amino acid; and 'wobble' base-pairing, i.e. permitting non-standard base-pairing at the 3rd anti-codon position. Lineage: Eukaryota; Metazoa; Chordata; Mammalia; Artiodactyla; Bovidae. The record is from Rfam by way of RNAcentral. RNAcentral also lists the same sequence under 2 other names.